UGGGUCCGCGUCUCAUUAGCUGGUUGGUGGGGUAAUGGCCUACCAAGGCGACGAUGAGUAGCUGGUCUGAGAGGAUGAUCAGCCACACUGGGACUGGAACACGGCCCAGACUCCUACGGGAGGCAGCAGUGGGGAAUAUUGGGCAAUGGGCGCAAGCCUGACCCAGCAACGCCGUGUGAGGGAAGAAGGUUUUCGGAUCGUAAACCUCUGUCAGAAGGGAAGAAGUGGCAGUUAUUUAAUAUAUAACUGCUUUGACGGUACCUUCAGAGGAAGCACCGGCUAACUCCGUGCCAGCAGCCGCGGUAAUACGGAGGGUGCAAGCGUUAUUCGGAAUCACUGGGCGUAAAGCGCGCGUAGGUUGCGUGGUAAGUCAGAUGUGAAAGCCCCCGGCUCAACCGGGGAACUGCAUUUGAAACUGCCAUGCUUGAGUACGACAGAGGGUGGCGGAAUUCCCGGUGUAGGAGUGAAAUCCGUAGAUAUCGGGAGGAACACCAGUGGCGAAGGCGGCCACCUGGGUCGAUACUGACGCUGAGGUGCGAAAGCGUGGGUAGCAAACAGGAUUAGAUACCCUGGUAGUCCACGCCGUAAACGAUGGACGCUAGAUGUCGGG
This 610-nucleotide ribosomal RNA is filed under the name uncultured bacterium. RNAcentral describes it as "bacterial SSU rRNA". It matches the Rfam family "Bacterial small subunit ribosomal RNA", at positions 226 to 827 of the family's 1533-position model. The record is from RNAcentral.